Sesamum indicum (sesame) is the source of this 322-nucleotide non-coding RNA. The record is from RefSeq and is a predicted model, not a curated record. NCBI's taxonomy places the organism in Eukaryota, Viridiplantae, Streptophyta, Magnoliopsida, Lamiales, Pedaliaceae.
UUCCUCUCUCUUUGUUCUUGUUUUUCCAGGAGACCAGAGGGAAAUCCAUUAGACCCGAAGAUUACACUAAAGAUGGUAUACAGGCCUCAGAGGACAGCUCCUCGUCUGCUGGAGGCUACAGGAAAAAGAAAAGCGGCGCUAAGGAGGGAAAAUAUGAGGCCGGGAAGGUCUACGAGUGCAGGUUUUGUUCCCUCAAGUUCUGCAAGUCUCAAGCCCUUGGGGGACACAUGAACCGCCACCGUCAAGGCAACCUCUUUUCAUUGCCCUAAUUUCAAUGUUCUACGUUUUUCUUCACAUUAUAAAAUCAAGACAAUUUCCAUCA